RNAcentral lists this unclassified non-coding RNA (200 nucleotides) under Dothiorella sp. RNAcentral describes it as "partial internal transcribed spacer 2". Lineage: Eukaryota; Fungi; Ascomycota; Dothideomycetes; Botryosphaeriales; Botryosphaeriaceae. The record is from RNAcentral.
UUAAGUUCAGCGGGUAUCCCUACCUGAUCCGAGGUCAACCUUGAGAAAAAUUCAAAGGUUCGUCCGGCGGGCGACGCCAUGCGCUCCAAAGCGAGGUGUUUUCUACUACGCUUGAGGCAAGACGCCACCGCCGAGGUCUUUGAGGCGCGUCCCUGAGGACGGAGCCCAAUACCAAGCAGAGCUUGAGGGUUGAAAUGACG